AUCUCUGCCCCUCAGAGUCCUGGGGAGGAUGGAUGGAACAGGAGGAGCAUCAUGAGAAGGCUUCCUGUAAACUACGGAGGGUGAGGGGACGGAGCGUGAGGGAACGUCGUGAGAUGGUGCUCGUGGAAGCCAGCAGAGGGUGUAGGGUCUCCUGGAGCCACAUCUCUGGAGUUACAUGAAGUUGUGGACCUCUCAACAUGGGUUCUGGGAACUGAACCCAGGUCCUCUGGAAGGACAUCGAGUGCUCUUAACCACUGAGCCAUCUCUGCAGCCUAACCCCAUCCCUUGGAGGCUGAAGCAAAGCAAGUUCAAUGACCGUGCGACCUGGCUCUUGUUUGGGCCUAAGGAAAAGCCGACUGUAAGCCGGGAAGCAUCUCUGGCAAGAACAAGGAAGGAUUAAGCACGUCUGUGGUUGUGCGCAGGGAUCACAAGGUGCUCCUGCAGUGGGAAGAGCCACCACUAGGGGCGCUCCAAGUCUUGUAUUUUCUACCUUGAAAACUCGUUUCCCUGUGGCUGCCCUCCAAAUCCAACGGAGAUGAAUGGCUUUUAGUUUACCUAGCUGAUUUAAUAAACUUUAAAAAUAAAUGUACGAAUGACUUUCAAAAA
Molecule: long non-coding RNA, 606 nt
Filed under: Mus musculus (house mouse)
Lineage: Eukaryota; Metazoa; Chordata; Mammalia; Rodentia; Muridae
Description: braveheart long non-coding RNA (Bvht)
Source: RNAcentral